This 355-nucleotide unclassified non-coding RNA is filed under the name Marasmius tenuissimus. Its description in RNAcentral is "partial contains 5.8S ribosomal RNA, internal transcribed spacer 2, and large subunit ribosomal RNA". Lineage: Eukaryota; Fungi; Basidiomycota; Agaricomycetes; Agaricales; Marasmiaceae. The record is from RNAcentral.
CGCACCUUGCGCCUCUUGGUAUUCCGAGAGGCAUGCCUGUUUGAGUGUCAUUAAAUUCUCAACUUCAAAAGCUUUUGUUUUUGAAGCUUGGAUGUGGAGGUCUGCUGGCUCUUCUAGAGUCGGCUCCUCUGAAAUGCAUUAGUGGAAACUGUUUGUAAUCCGCAUUGGUGUGAUAAUUAUCUACGCUUCUGUGUGACUACAGCUCUGUAGUGUUCGUUUGGGAAGCUGCAUUAAGUUGCUCUUUCUGUUUACAAUGACCUACACGAGUCUAGUAUCUGCUUCAAACCGUCCUAAGUUAUUGGACAACUUUGAACCUUUUGACCUCAAAUCAGGUAGGACUACCCGCUGAACUUAA